RNAcentral lists this non-coding RNA (148 nucleotides) under Nomascus leucogenys (northern white-cheeked gibbon). Lineage: Eukaryota; Metazoa; Chordata; Mammalia; Primates; Hylobatidae. The record is from Rfam by way of RNAcentral.
GCUGGGCGUGGUGGUGGUUGCCUGUAAUCCCAGCUACUUGGGAGGCUGAGGCAGGAGAAUCACUUGAACCCAGGAGGCAGAGGUUGCAGUGAGCUGAGAUCACGCCACUGCAUUCCAGCCUGGGUGACAGAGUGAGACUCCGUCUCAA